GUCUAUGGUCCUAUCACCCUGAGUGUCCCCGAUCUAUUCUGAUAUCAGAAGCUAAGUGGGGUUGGGCCUACAGAAUCUUGCUAUGUAUA
Cricetulus griseus (Chinese hamster) is the source of this 89-nucleotide ribosomal RNA. NCBI's taxonomy places the organism in Eukaryota, Metazoa, Chordata, Mammalia, Rodentia, Cricetidae. The record is from Ensembl.